This 409-nucleotide long non-coding RNA is filed under the name Pan troglodytes (chimpanzee). Its description in RNAcentral is "long non-coding RNA NONPTRT008223". The record is from RNAcentral. Lineage: Eukaryota; Metazoa; Chordata; Mammalia; Primates; Hominidae.
UGAGAGCCAGUUGUAGCGCUGGCAGUGGGCUUUAUGCUUGACCUUUGUUAACCGGAAGUAUUCAGGUAUCCUAAGUGAUGGGUUGGGUUGUGGAAAACUCAGUGGUCUUGAUCAGUACUCUGCCUCCAGCGCAGGGAAAUGAAGCCCAGAACAACUGUGCCCCCCAACCUGAGAGCCCAGGGGCUGGAGUAAGAGGGAGGCUCGUGGAGAACCUGGUAGCGCCUUCUCCCUCCAUCACUGACUGAGGCAGAGAAGCACGAACACCGUGAUGCCUGCUCUGGGGGCUCCAGCUGUGGGAGAGGAGACCACAGGGCCCUCCAGGACAGACAGACACACGGAUGUGGUCACUCAGAGCCUGCUGCUGCCCGUCCAGGCCUCUCUCCUUUACACUUGGAGAAACUGAGGCCCA